Molecule: ribosomal RNA, 255 nt
Filed under: Ligilactobacillus salivarius
Lineage: Bacteria; Bacillati; Bacillota; Bacilli; Lactobacillales; Lactobacillaceae
Description: partial 23S ribosomal RNA
Rfam family: Bacterial large subunit ribosomal RNA
Source: RNAcentral
GCACUGGAGGACCGAACCCGUGUAUGUUGAAAAAUGCUGGGAUGAGGUGUGGGUAGAGGUGAAAUUCCAAACGAACUUGGAGAUAGCUGGUUCUCUCCGAAAUAGCUUUAGGGCUAGCCUCGGAGUUGAGAAUCGUGGAGGUAGAGCACUGUUUGGACUAGGGGCCCGUCUUGGGUUACUGAAUUCAGAUAAACUCCGAAUGCCACAGAUUUAUAUCCGGGAGUCAGACUGCGAGUGAUAAGAUCCGUAGUCGAA